Molecule: ribosomal RNA, 134 nt
Filed under: Eubacterium sp. AM28-29
Lineage: Bacteria; Bacillati; Bacillota; Clostridia; Eubacteriales; Eubacteriaceae
Description: partial 16S ribosomal RNA
Rfam family: Bacterial small subunit ribosomal RNA
Source: RNAcentral
CAAAUGGAGAGUUUGAUCCUGGCUCAGGAUGAACGCUGGCGGCAUGCCUAAUACAUGCAAGUCGAACGAGAGGAAAAGGAGCUUGCUUCUUUAAAUCUAGUGGCGAACGGGUGAGUAACACGUAGGUAACCUGC